This 253-nucleotide ribosomal RNA is filed under the name uncultured prokaryote. Its description in RNAcentral is "partial 16S ribosomal RNA". It matches the Rfam family "Bacterial small subunit ribosomal RNA", at positions 524 to 776 of the family's 1533-position model. The record is from RNAcentral.
UACGUAGGCAGCAAGCGUUGUUCGGAGUUACUGGGCGUAAAGGGCGUGUAGGCGGUUCGUUAAGUCGGGUGUGAAAGCCCGGAGCUCAGCUCCGGAAGUGCGCCCGAAACUGGCGAGCUGGAGCGCGGUAGAGGAGGGUGGAAUUCCUGGUGUAGCGGUGAAAUGCGUAGAUAUCAGGAGGAAUACCGGUGGCGAAAGCGGCGCACUGGACCAUAACUGACGCUGAGGCGCGAAAGCUAGGGGAGCAAACAGG